UCGAGUUACCACUCUACAACCCUUGUGAACAUACCUAUACUGUUGCUUCGGCGGCAGGGGUCCCCGGACGCCCCCGCCCGCCCCCGUAAACAGGGGACGUGGCCCCGCCGGAGGACCCCUAACUCUAGUUUUACGGACGUUCUUCUGAGUGCAACAACAAAUAAUUA
Molecule: unclassified non-coding RNA, 167 nt
Filed under: soil metagenome
Description: partial internal transcribed spacer 1
Source: RNAcentral